RNAcentral lists this ribosomal RNA (238 nucleotides) under uncultured bacterium. Its description in RNAcentral is "partial 16S ribosomal RNA". It matches the Rfam family "Bacterial small subunit ribosomal RNA", at positions 92 to 334 of the family's 1533-position model. The record is from RNAcentral.
CGAGUGGCGGACGGGUGAGUAAUGUCUGGGAAACUGCCUGGUGGAGGGGGAUAACUACUGGAAACGGUAGCUAAUACCGCAUAACGUCGCAAGACCAAAGAGGGGACCUUCGGGCCUCUCGCCAUCGGAUGUGCCCAGAUGGGAUUAGCUAGUAGGUGGGGUAACGGCUCACCUAGGCGACGAUCCCUAGCUGGUCUGAGAGGAUGACCAGCCACACUGGAACUGAGACACGGUCCAG